This 495-nucleotide ribosomal RNA is filed under the name uncultured bacterium. RNAcentral describes it as "partial 16S ribosomal RNA". It matches the Rfam family "Bacterial small subunit ribosomal RNA", at positions 899 to 1397 of the family's 1533-position model. The record is from RNAcentral.
ACUCAAAGGAAUAGACGGGGGCCCGCACAAGCGGUGGAGCAUGUGGUUUAAUUCGACGCAACGCGCAGAACCUUACCCAGACUUGACAUCCAUCAAACUCGACCCAAAAGUUGAGGUGCCCGCAAGGGAAUGGUGAGACAGGUGCUGCAUGGCUGUCGUCAGCUCGUGUCGUGAGAUGUUGGGUUAAGUCCCGCAACGAGCGCAACCCUCGCCUUUAGUUGCUCCGCAAGGAGAUCUCUAGAGGGACCGCCAGUGAUAAGCUGGAGGAAGGUGGGGAUGACGUCAAGUCCUCAUGGCCUUUAUGUCUGGGGCUACACACGUGCUACAAUGGCGAGUACAAAGCGUUGCCAACCCGCGAGGGGGAGCUAAUCGCAUAAAACUCGUCUCAGUUCGGAUUGGAGUCUGCAACUCGGCUCCAUGAAGUCGGAAUCGCUAGUAAUCGCAGAUCAGCACGCUGCGGUGAAUACGUUCCCGGGCCUUGUACACACCGCCCGU